RNAcentral lists this ribosomal RNA (665 nucleotides) under uncultured Bacilli bacterium. RNAcentral's name for it is "bacterial SSU rRNA". It matches the Rfam family "Bacterial small subunit ribosomal RNA", at positions 99 to 752 of the family's 1533-position model. Lineage: Bacteria; Bacillati; Bacillota; Bacilli. The record is from RNAcentral.
CGAACGGGUGAGUAACGCGUAGGUAACCUGCCUCUUAGCGGGGGAUAACUAUUGGAAACGAUAGCUAAUACCGCAUAAAAGUCGACAUUGCAUGAUGUUGACUUGAAAGGUGCAAUUGCAUCACUAAGAGAUGGACCUGCGUUGUAUUAGCUAGUUGGUGAGGUAACGGCUCACCAAGGCAACGAUACAUAGCCGACCUGAGAGGGUGAUCGGCCACACUGGGACUGAGACACGGCCCAGACUCCUACGGGAGGCAGCAGUAGGGAAUCUUCGGCAAUGGGGGCAACCCUGACCGAGCAACGCCGCGUGAGUGAAGAAGGUUUUCGGAUCGUAAAGCUCUGUUGUAAGAGAAGAACGAGUGUGAGAGUGGAAAGUUCACACUGUGACGGUAACUUACCAGAAAGGGACGGCUAACUACGUGCCAGCAGCCGCGGUAAUACGUAGGUCCCGAGCGUUAUCCGGAUUUAUUGGGGGUAAAGCGAGCGCAGGCGGUUAGAUAAGUCUGAAGUUAAAGGCUGUGGCUUAACCAUAGUACGCUUUGGAAACUGUUUAACUUGAGUGCAAGAGGGGAGAGUGGAAUUCCAUGUGUAGCGGUGAAAUGCGUAGAUAUAUGGAGGAACACCGGUGGCGAAAGCGGCUCUCUGGCUUGUAACUGACGCUGAGGC